UACCUGGUUGAUCCUGCCAGUAGUCAUAUGCUUGUCUCAAAGACUAAGCCAUGCAUGUCUAAGUAUAAGUAUUAUACAGCGAAACUGCGAAUGGCUCAUUAAAACAGCUAUAGUUUAUUUGAUAAUCUAACUACAUGGAUACCCGUAGUAAUUCUAGAGCUAAUACAUGCUGUACACCGAACUUCAUGGGGAGGUGGUAUUUAUUAGAUAACAACCAAUAUUCCGAAGGUCUAUCGUGGUGAAUCAUAAUAACUGAUCGAAUCGUAAAGCCUAUGGCGACGAUAAGUCAUUCAAGUUUCUGCCCCAUCAGCUUUAGAUGGUAGUGUAUUGGACUACCAUGGCAUUCACGGGUAACGGAGGAUUAGGGUUCGAUUCCGGAGAGGGAGCCUGAGAAACGGCUACCACAUCUAAGGAAGGCAGCAGGCGCGUAAAUUACCCAAUCCUGACUCAGGGAGGUAGUGACAAGAAAUAGCAAGAAGUACCUUGUGUAUUUCAUUGAAAUGAACCGAAUUUACACCACUUAGUGAGGAUCAAUUGGAGGGCAAGUCUGGUGCCAGCAGCCGCGGUAAUUCCAGCUCCAAUAGC
Molecule: ribosomal RNA, 585 nt
Filed under: uncultured marine eukaryote
Lineage: Eukaryota
Description: SSU rRNA
Rfam family: Eukaryotic small subunit ribosomal RNA
Source: RNAcentral